This 490-nucleotide ribosomal RNA is filed under the name uncultured bacterium. RNAcentral describes it as "partial 16S ribosomal RNA". It matches the Rfam family "Bacterial small subunit ribosomal RNA", at positions 30 to 507 of the family's 1533-position model. The record is from RNAcentral.
AUUGAACGCUGGCGGCAGGCCUAACACAUGCAAGUCGAACGGUAACAGGAAGCAGCUUGCUGCUUCGCUGCCGAGUGGCGGACGGGUGAGUAAUGUCUGGGAAACUGCCUGAUGGAGGGGGAUAACUACUGGAAACGGUAGCUAAUACCGCAUAACGUCGCAAGACCAAAGAGGGGGACCUUCGGGCCUCUUGCCAUCGGAUGUGCCCAGAUGGGAUUAGCUAGUAGGUGGGGUAACGGCUCACCUAGGCGACGAUCCCUAGCUGGUCUGAGAGGAUGACCAGCCACACUGGAACUGAGACACGGUCCAGACUCCUACGGGAGGCAGCAGUGGGGAAUAUUGCACAAUAGGCGCAAGCCUGAUGCAGCCAUGCCGCGUGUAUGAAGAAGGCCUUCGGGUUGUAAAGUACUUUCAGCGGGGAGGAAGGGAGUAAAGUUAAUACCUUUGCUCAUUGACGUUACCCGCAGAAGAAGCACCGGCUAACUCCGUG